RNAcentral lists this ribosomal RNA (214 nucleotides) under uncultured bacterium. Its description in RNAcentral is "partial 16S ribosomal RNA". It matches the Rfam family "Bacterial small subunit ribosomal RNA", at positions 120 to 334 of the family's 1533-position model. The record is from RNAcentral.
AGUAAUCUGCCUCUAAGAGGGGAAUAACAUUCUGAAAAGAAUGCUAAUACCGCAUAACAUAUAUUUAUCGCAUGGUAGAUAUAUCAAAGAUUUAUCGCUUAGAGAUGGACUCGCGUCCGAUUAGUUAGUUGGUGAGGUAACGGCUCACCAGGACUGCGAUCGGUAGCCGGACUGAGAGGUUGAACGGCCACAUUGGGACUGAGACACGGCCCAG